Non-coding RNA from Ciona intestinalis (vase tunicate), 1952 nucleotides. The record is from RefSeq and is a predicted model, not a curated record. NCBI's taxonomy places the organism in Eukaryota, Metazoa, Chordata, Ascidiacea, Phlebobranchia, Cionidae.
UAAUGGCAACAUAAUUUUUCUGUUUGUAAAUCUUUACUGCGUAUAUCAGCACAGACAUAAAAUUACCCCAAUAAGUGAUAAAACCUAAAUUUAAUAACGAACCUGAUACACCAUAUCUUUAACAAUAUCUACCCCUACUAUACGUGGAAGUAUUAUUACAAGAACCGACCGCACAAGCAUAGUUUAAAAAAAAAACUUCGCAUAACCUUGCUAAAUCAAUGCAAAAAGACACGUUGCUAUGGACUUAGCUUGGAAGACAUCCUCUCGGUCGCUACCUAUCGAUAUUUUUGUGGCAAGUGGUCUAUUGAAGCGCGCCAUUUUGAAUCGUAUGUAACCCACUUGUCUAUUAUCGCAUAUUCGUAAUGUGUUUUUUGGGUUAGUUUUAGGCAUGAAAAACUAAUUUAAUCUGCACCAAAAGUUAACCUACGGCAGAUUUUUAAACUCUUAUGCUUUUGCGUUUUUAAAAGCGACGAUUAACCCAACUUUUACUGACGAUUUACGUGAGAAACUUUAAAAUCCUAAAACAGUUUAACAAGGUGUUGCCAUAAUCCGGCAGUCUUCCAGUCAGUUGUUUAAAAUUUAUCUAUUGGUAAUUUAUUCUAGUUAAGAAUAAUACUUUUUUUAAAGGUUAAAAACUUAUUUAAUUUAAACAAAAAGUUUACAUAUGAUUAAAAACGCCCUGAAAAGUUUAAAUUAUUGGUACUAGUAUUGUCCAGACACCCAAUAUUUAUAUUAAUAUUGCAUUUUAUAGUAGAGGGAAGGUGGACACUAGUAAAAAAUCCUCCGAUACGUUACACAUUAGGCUGGUGGGAAGUGUUAGUGGCUGGUAGUUAUGGGUUAGUAGUUAGCAUAUAAUAUAAGGAUUCUUCGCUAGCACCAGAAAAAUAUUUGCAAUGUUUGUAUUUUACUGGAUUUCAAAUAACAGGCAUUGAUAAACGUUUUCAAUUGAUUGGUUAUUGAAAUUAUGUGAGAAUUUUUAUCAAUUUAUUCUUAUAGAUGUAUUAGUCAAUAGUUGUUUAUUAUGAAUGGUGCUUUCAUACAAAUAUAAUAUAGUGGUAGUGGUAGAGUAGUAUAUGAGAAAACAAACUACACUGUACAUACAAGUUUAUUUUCAAAGAAGUUUUAUAUCAACAUUAUGUCAAAACAGGAAACGCAAUGCAGUGCAUUUGGAUGCAGUAAAGGAAGAAAGGUUGAGGAGAAUCGUUAUUGAAGGUAAUGCAAAUAAAGAGACGGGUAUACGGCAAUAAAGAAACCCCAUUCACAAACUUAUCACUCUUGAGUCCUGAUGAUCAUACAGACAGUGUUUGCAACUAAAAGCAAGAAAAUCAUAUUUUAGAAAAGAAGAUAGGACAACACAACAGAUUAUAUAAAUCUACAAACAGUACAAUAAAAGUUUGCGAAGAAACUGAAAUAAAAGUUGAGGGGCUUCUUUUAACUAGCAAGGGGAAAUUACCAUAAAUGAAGGUAAAGGGAUGCCAUUAGCUAUUGUCGCAUCUGUUUUGUCGGAUAACAGUCAGUUGUAUGAACUAAAUGAUCAUAUGACUGAUUCUUAUGUUAUGGACAAGAACAACCAUGUAUUUCAUCUCAUCAAAUCAUCACUUGCAUUGGCAUAUUGCAACAUUCGGUUUUAUCAUCCAGGAAAGAAAUUCAAUCGAACUGUUGCUGGACAAUUGAGACCUGGAUUGAGUGGCUGGUAGAGAGAGAUUAGUUUCCACCACUGAUGCUCUUCACUGGAAACAAAUCACCAACAAGUAAAUAUAAAUAACUAACUGGAAGACUGCCGGAUUAUGGCAACACCUUGCUAAACUAUGUUUGGAUUUAAAAGUUUCUCACGUAAAUCGUCAGUAAAAGUUGGGUCAAAUGUCGGUUUUAAAAACGCAAAAGCUUAAAGGUAUAUAAUUACAGACUCAGUAAAAUAAAAUCCGACGUAGGUUAACUUUUUGUUUAGUUUA